CUGGGACGCUUGCACGAAAGAACCCGACAAAAACCAGAGCCCGCACUCACUCUCGUACUGGGGAGGUGGACUUCAGGGAGGGUUAUCUGGAGGAGGAAUCUCUCAAAGUACAACACAGGAGAAAGACAGUAUCGCAAUACAGAAAUUUUAUUUUUUAUUUUAUUAUUAUUUUCCUGAGACCGGAGUCUCGCUCUGUCGCCCAGGCUGGAGUGCAGUGGCGCGAUCUCGGCUCACUGCAAACUCCGCCUCCCGGGUUCACGCCAUUCGGCUGCCUCACCCUCCACAGUAGCUGGGACUACAAGCGCCCGCCACCACGCCCGGCUAAUUUGCAAUACGGAAAUUUUAAUAGCCUCAGCUUCCACGGAAUCCAUGCCCACAUCUUCAUAAUCCUCCAGAGCUGCCAGAUCCUCGCGGGCCUCGGAGAAUUCCCCCACUGCCAUGCCCUCCCCCACGUACCAGUGCACUAAGG
RNAcentral lists this long non-coding RNA (469 nucleotides) under Homo sapiens (human). Its description in RNAcentral is "non-protein coding THAP7-AS1:5". The record is from RNAcentral. Lineage: Eukaryota; Metazoa; Chordata; Mammalia; Primates; Hominidae.